UCUGAUAUGGCAGAUUAGUGCAAUGAAUUUAAGAUUCAAAAAUAAAUAUUUAUAUUUUUUCAGAA
Molecule: transfer RNA, 65 nt
Filed under: Seasogonia rosea
Lineage: Eukaryota; Metazoa; Arthropoda; Insecta; Hemiptera; Cicadellidae
Description: tRNA-Leu
Source: RNAcentral